CACUCCUGCGGGAGGCAGCAGUGGGGAAUUUUGGACAAUGGGCGAAAGCCUGAUCCAGCAAUGCCGCGUGAGUGAAGAAGGCCUUCGGGUUGUAAAGCUCUUUUGUCAGGGAAGAAACGGUGAAAGCUAAUAUCUUUUGCUAAUGACGGUACCUGAAGAAUAAGCACCGGCUAACUACGUGCCAGCAGCCGCGGUAAUACGUAGGGUGCAAGCGUUAAUCGGAAUUACUGGGCGUAAAGCGUGCGCAGGCGGUUUUGUAAGUCUGAUGUGAAAUCCCCGGGCUCAACCUGGGAAUUGCAUUGGAGACUGCAAGGCUAGAAUCUGGCAGAGGGGUGUAGAAUUCCACGUGUAGCAGUGAAAUGCGUAGAUAUGUGGAGGAACACCGAUGGCGAAGGCAGCCCCCUGGGUCAAGAUUGACGCUCAUGCACGAAAGCGUGGGGAGCAAACAGGAUUAGAAACCCCGGUAGUCCC
RNAcentral lists this ribosomal RNA (471 nucleotides) under uncultured organism. RNAcentral's name for it is "partial 16S ribosomal RNA". It matches the Rfam family "Bacterial small subunit ribosomal RNA", at positions 334 to 797 of the family's 1533-position model. The record is from RNAcentral.